AGUGAACGCUGGCGGUAGGCCUAACACAUGCAAGUCGAACGGCAGCACAGUAAGAGCUUGCUCUUACGGGUGGCGAGUGGCGGACGGGUGAGGAAUACAUCGGAAUCUACUUUUUCGUGGGGGAUAACGUAGGGAAACUUACGCUAAUACCGCAUACGACCUACGGGUGAAAGCAGGGGAUCUUCGGACCUUGCGCGAUUGAAUGAGCCGAUGUCGGAUUAGCUAGUUGGCGGGGUAAAGGCCCACCAAGGCGACGAUCCGUAGCUGGUCUGAGAGGAUGAUCAGCCACACUGGAACUGAGACACGGACCAGACUCCUACGGGAGGCAGCAGUGGGGAAUAUUGGACAAUGGGCGCAAGCCUGAUCCAGCCAUACCGCGUGAGUGAAGAAGGCCUUCGGGUUGUAAAGCCCUUUUGUUGGGAAAGAAAAGCAGCAGGUUAAUACCCCGCUGUUCUGACGGUACCCAAAGAAUAAGCACCGGCUAACUUCGUG
Molecule: ribosomal RNA, 492 nt
Filed under: uncultured bacterium
Lineage: Bacteria
Description: partial 16S ribosomal RNA
Rfam family: Bacterial small subunit ribosomal RNA
Source: RNAcentral